This 372-nucleotide ribosomal RNA is filed under the name uncultured prokaryote. Its description in RNAcentral is "bacterial SSU rRNA". It matches the Rfam family "Bacterial small subunit ribosomal RNA", at positions 524 to 896 of the family's 1533-position model. The record is from RNAcentral.
UACGUAGGGUGAGAGCGUUAAUCGGAAUUACUGGGCGUAAAGCGUGCGCAGGCGGUUAUAUAAAACAGAUGGGAAAUCCCCGGGCUCAACCUGGGACCUGCCUUUGGGAAUGUAUAGCUAGAGUACGGAUGAGGGGGAUGGAAUUCCGCGUGUAGCAGUGAAAUGCGUAGAUAUGCGGAGGAACACCGAUGGCGAAGGCAAUCCCCUGGACCUGUACUGACGCUCAUGCACGAAAGCGUGGGGAGCAAACAGGAUUAGAUACCCUGGUAGUCCACGCCCUAAACGAUGUCAACUGGUUGUUGGGUCUUCACUGACUCAGUAACGAAGCUAACGCGUGAAGUUGACCGCCUGGGGAGUACGGCCGCAAGGUUG